ACCCUCUAUGGCCCAGUUGGUAGGGCAUUACACUCACAACGUGAGAGCGAGAGUUCAAUCCCCGGUAAGAACA
Non-coding RNA from Globomyces sp. JEL0801, 73 nucleotides. Lineage: Eukaryota; Fungi; Chytridiomycota; Chytridiomycetes; Rhizophydiales; Globomycetaceae. The record is from the annotation of a GenBank genome assembly.